AGACGGUGACGUUUAGCAAAUCCCAGAAAUAACGUCCCAGUUCGGAUUGUAGUCUGCAACCCGACUACAUGAAGCUGGAAUCGCUAGUAAUCGCGAAUCAGGAUGUCGCGGUGAAUACGUUCCCGGGUCUUGUACACACCGCCCGUCACACCAUGGGAGUCGGAAAUGCCCGAAGUCGGUAGUCUAACCGCAAGGAGGACGCCGCCGAAGGUGGGGUUGAUGAUUAGGGUUAAGUCGUAACAAGGUAUC
This 249-nucleotide ribosomal RNA is filed under the name uncultured bacterium. Its description in RNAcentral is "partial 16S ribosomal RNA". It matches the Rfam family "Bacterial small subunit ribosomal RNA", at positions 1252 to 1500 of the family's 1533-position model. The record is from RNAcentral.